Oryza brachyantha (malo sina) is the source of this 780-nucleotide long non-coding RNA. RefSeq lists it as uncharacterized. Lineage: Eukaryota; Viridiplantae; Streptophyta; Magnoliopsida; Poales; Poaceae. The record is from RefSeq and is a predicted model, not a curated record. The transcript has 4 exons.
UGAAUAGUCUACCUGUGUUUGCAGUGCUCGAGCAAUGGCGACAGGCUGGUGGUAGGCUGAAACGAGAGACUGCGGCAAAGAACAAAACUGUCGAUGGCAGGGAGGCCAGCCGGGAGCUCAGCUGUGGAUGACCGUGUCAUCGACGGCGGCGGCACGACGGCGGCGCGGCGCGGCCGAGCCAGACCAGAGCCCGGGCGCUCCCCGGCGACGGCGGCGCGGCCGUCAACCUCGCCGUCUCCGAGCGCUGCAGGAUCUCCCACAUCACCUGCACGUCCUCGUACGCGCACGUCUGGAUGUCUUCGUGCAGCUUCACCAGGACGCCGCGUCCAUCUGACGAACAACAAAAUUCAGAAUUGGAUCCAUGCGGAAAGCAAAUCCUAGACCGGAUUUGGUGCUCCUGUCGUGUCCUUCACUCGCACGUGCUCCAUGCGCGCACAUACACACCUGGCAUUAAUCAUCAUUGCGGUGCUAAGCUAAUCAAGGCAGUUUGUAUACAGUUAUGGUUAAUCGAGCAUGGGCGCCCUUUGUUAAUCAUGGCCAUGGGUCGGAAAUCUAUGUGCAUAAGCAUGCCACGUAGACGCUUCUAGAAGGCAAAGUGGUGAGCUGACUGCAGGGCUAGUGUCCGUCCAAACUCCAAGGCCAAGAAAGUGGCAGGGGCGGUUACUUGGUGAGUGUAUCAUCCUCUCCAUGCAUACGUACUGCAGGUGUCACUCACACUCUGCCUAGUUUGUCUGGUUUCUCUACCAAUGUGUGUAAACAGGAAUAUUUACACACCUUUUU